This 603-nucleotide ribosomal RNA is filed under the name Triticum aestivum (bread wheat). RNAcentral describes it as "partial small subunit ribosomal RNA". Lineage: Eukaryota; Viridiplantae; Streptophyta; Magnoliopsida; Poales; Poaceae. The record is from RNAcentral.
AUGGGGCCAUCGCAUGGUGGUUUCGAGUUCUUGAAGGGCAGCUUCGAAGGGAUCAAGGGAUACGCUGUGGGCUGGAUGACCAAGAGCCGUCGCGGCAAGCUCUACAUCGACGAUGUAGGCUGGGGCCCCGAGGCCGGCUUAAUUGAGUACGGGUACCAGGUCCCCUUCGAUGGAAUUCACGUCUUCAUCGGCAAGAUCAGUGAGCCGGGACUUGAGCCGGACAUCUGCACCGACAUCAUUGAGAUGGCUCAGCGUGCAAGACCCGCCCGAGCUCAACCCGCCGUGAAGCGUGCCUUCUUGGGAUGCGUCCAUGGAGGGGAAUUUGAUGAAGGAUCUAUGUCUGGCGGUGAGACGGCCAUCUACUCGGAUGGUGAGUUGUCCACGGGCGAGACUACUUUGUUGUAUCAGCUGCAAGAUGAUAGGCUUGGGGGCUAUUCCGAUGGCGACAGUAUUCCGGACCCUUAUGAGCCGCCGAAUCGGUUUGCAAUCUUUAUGGCUGGGACGCAGCCUGUGCAGACUUCCUCAACCAUGCCAGCAAUGACCUCCGGGUCAACAGCAACAAUGGCAGCUGGGGCAGGAGGUCCUGUGCGCCCGUCGGCUUAA